GGUUNAUUGAUCAUGGCUCAGAGCUGAACGCUGGCGUNUAAAGCCUAACACAUGCAAGUCGAACGGCAGCACAGGAGAGCUUGCUCUCUGGGUGGCGAGUGGCGGACGGGUGAGGAAUACAUCGGAAUCUACUUUUUCGUGGGGGAUAACGUAGGGAAACUUACGCUAAUACCGCAUACGACCCUUACGGGUGAAAGCAGGGGAUCUUCGGACCUUGCGCGAAUUGCAAUGGACGACACGGACUGUCGAGACUUUAAGGNCCAUUAANGCGNUCUCUGGGGGCCCGNCGACNCCGGCUUUACCAACAACCGNCGGGACCACNCCCACCCAAAAACCAAACCCCCAAAAAACAANACCCGCNGCGCACCCCACGNNCAACAAAACACCCCAGAGAAAACUUCCCACCC
RNAcentral lists this ribosomal RNA (407 nucleotides) under uncultured bacterium. RNAcentral describes it as "partial 16S ribosomal RNA". It matches the Rfam family "Bacterial small subunit ribosomal RNA", at positions 1 to 216 of the family's 1533-position model. The record is from RNAcentral.